This 611-nucleotide ribosomal RNA is filed under the name Lactococcus lactis. RNAcentral's name for it is "bacterial SSU rRNA". Lineage: Bacteria; Bacillati; Bacillota; Bacilli; Lactobacillales; Streptococcaceae. The record is from RNAcentral.
AGCUAUAAGUUCUCUGUAUCGCAGCUAACGCAAUAAGCACUCCGCCUGGGGAGUACGACCGCAAGGYUGAAACUCAAAGGAAUUGACGGGGGCCCGCACAAGCGGUGGAGCAUGUGRUUUAAUUCGAAGCAACGCGAAGAACCUUACCAGGUCUUGACRUACUCGUGCUAUUCCUAGAGAUAGGAAGUUCCUUCGGGACACGGGAUACAGGUGGUGCAUGGUUGUCGUCAGCUCGUGUCGUGAGAUGUUGGGUUAAGUCCCGCAACGAGCGCAACCCCUAUUGUUAGUUGCCAUCAUUAAGUUGGGCACUCUAACGAGACUGCCGGUGAUAAACCGGAGGAAGGUGGGGAUGACGUCAAAUCAUCAUGCCCCUUAUGACCUGGGCUACACACGUGCUACAAUGGAUGGUACAACGAGUCGCGAGACAGUGAUGUUUAGCUAAUCUCUUAAAACCAUUCUCAGUUCGGAUUGUAGGCUGCAACUCGCCUACAUGAAGUCGGAAUCGCUAGUAAUCGCGGAUCAGCACGCCGCGGUGAAUACGUUCCCGGGCCUUGUACACACCGCCCGUCACACCACGGGAGUUGGGAGUACCCGAAGUAGGUUGCCUAACC